CCCACGCCAGAGCACCCCCACCCACCCCUAGGCCCCGGCGGCUGUGGGGAGUGGGGAAGAAGUGCAAAUCUUCCCCUUCCUCCUUUCCCCCACCCCCACCUUCCCUGUAAACACGAGGGCUUUCUCGAGAGCCCUGGAGAGUGGCUCUAGUGGCUCGGGGCCUGAAACCCCAGUCUUGGCUUGUUUGAUGUUUAGCAUCCCAAAGCGCUCCCCACCCCUGCCCCAGCCUGGGAGCCCAGCCUGGGAAGCACCCCUCCCAGCUGGCCCGCCGGGGCCUGGGCAGGGCUCCGGGGAGGCGAGAAGAGUCGGAGAAGAGAUGCUCUGGAGAGCUCCAGUGGCCCUGCCCAGGUCUGGCACCCGGGUCUCCAGUUUUGAGGCCCCAGUGAAGACUUCCCAGACUUUAGAGGCCCUGCACCGUUCCAGGGCGCUCACUCGCGGAUGAGUGUGAGGAGCUAGCUCCCCGCGCUAGCCCACAGAAGGUAGCACGAGUCUCUUCUCAGGCGAUCCGAGAUAAGAGGAAAUGAGAACGGGGUCUUCUGACUUCCAACUCAUUAGGGACCAGGGCUGCUUGAGCUUAAAUCACCAGGCGAGUGAUUUAAGAAAGACAGAAAGACAAAUUGCUAAAAGUUUUUUCACACUGGAAAAUUUUGUUGGAUUAGUAACCAAGGACUACUCAUCCAUCAUUUUAGCAUCAGGAAAUCUUGAAAAAAGGUUUGAAACCCUCAAAUCCAGAAUUUCAAUCCAGGCUCCUAGUUUGGCUCUCUCCUUGGAUACAGCCACAUCCUCAAAUGGUCAACACUCAUUCAACAUCCAGUCUAUUUUGUAA
Molecule: long non-coding RNA, 826 nt
Filed under: Dasypus novemcinctus (nine-banded armadillo)
Lineage: Eukaryota; Metazoa; Chordata; Mammalia; Cingulata; Dasypodidae
Description: lncRNA (ENSDNOG00000050787.1)
Source: RNAcentral